ACUUAACAACAAAACUGGUUUUCCCAUUGGUCUGGCAGAUAUUUCAUAUUCUGAGAUCAUUGUGAAAACUGAUUUUGUACC
Molecule: microRNA precursor, 81 nt
Filed under: Biomphalaria glabrata
Lineage: Eukaryota; Metazoa; Mollusca; Gastropoda; Planorbidae
Description: bantam microRNA precursor family
Rfam family: bantam microRNA precursor family
Source: Rfam by way of RNAcentral